RNAcentral lists this ribosomal RNA (486 nucleotides) under uncultured bacterium. RNAcentral's name for it is "partial 16S ribosomal RNA". It matches the Rfam family "Bacterial small subunit ribosomal RNA", at positions 30 to 507 of the family's 1533-position model. The record is from RNAcentral.
AUUGAACGCUGGCGGCAUGCCUUACACAUGCAAGUCGAACGGCAGCACGGGUGCUUGCACCUGGUGGCGAGUGGCGAACGGGUGAGUAAUACAUCGGAACAUGUCCUGUAGCGGGGGAUAGCCCGGCGAAAGCCGGAUUAAUACCGCAUACGAUCUACGGAUGAAAGCGGGGGACGUUCGGGCCUCGCGCUAUAGGGUUGGCCGAUGGCUGAUUAGCUAGUUGGUGGGGUAAAGGCCUACCAAGGCGACGAUCAGUAGCUGGUCUGAGAGGACGACCAGCCACACUGGGACUGAGACACGGCCCAGACUCCUACGGGAGGCAGCAGUGGGGAAUUUUGGACAAUGGGCGAAAGCCUGAUCCAGCAAUGCCGCGUGUGUGAAGAAGGCCUUCGGGUUGUAAAGCACUUUUGUCCGGAAAGAAAUCCUUGGCCCUGAUACGGUCGGGGGAUGACGGUACCGGAAGAAUAAGCACCGGCUAACUACGUG